Molecule: long non-coding RNA, 334 nt
Filed under: Lathyrus oleraceus (garden pea)
Lineage: Eukaryota; Viridiplantae; Streptophyta; Magnoliopsida; Fabales; Fabaceae
Description: Pisum sativum (pea) long non-coding RNA (PSAT_LNC003531)
Source: RNAcentral
GUUUAUUGUGAAUGUGCAUAAGUUGAAACACUAUACCACUAGCGAUGUAGUAGACCAAGGUAUGAGCUUGGUAUUGAAGGAACCACCAUAAGUGCUUGCACUCGUGAAUCGUUGAGCUAAAAUGACGUUAAACAAAGCUCUUAGUGGGAGGAAACCCACACUUUUUUUAUCACUUAUGUCUUUUUUUGUUGUUUAUUUACUAUUUUUUUGUUCUACUUUCUUGUGUGUUUAUGUUUAUGUUUUUUCUUCUUAUUUAGUCGUUUUUGUAAUUUUUCUUUUCAAAAAGACCACUUUUUCAAAACUUUUCCCGAAUUAGGGUCUUUAAAAAAAAAGC